Molecule: ribosomal RNA, 253 nt
Filed under: uncultured bacterium
Lineage: Bacteria
Description: partial 16S ribosomal RNA
Rfam family: Bacterial small subunit ribosomal RNA
Source: RNAcentral
GACGUAGGGCGCGAGCGUUGUCCGGAUUUAUUGGGCGUAAAGAGCUCGUAGGCGGCUCGUUGCGUCGGCUGUGAAAACCCGCAGCUCAACUGUGGGCUUGCAGCCGAUACGGGCGGGCUGGGAUUCGGUAGGGGAGACUGGAAUUCCUGGUGUAGCGGUGAAAUGCGCAGAUAUCAGGAAGAACACCCGUGGCGAAGGCGGCUCUCUGGGACGGUACUGACGCUGAGACGCGAAAGCGUGGGGAGCGAACAGG